RNAcentral lists this non-coding RNA (514 nucleotides) under Vairimorpha ceranae BRL01. Its description in RNAcentral is "Nosema ceranae BRL01 Eukaryotic large subunit ribosomal RNA". It matches the Rfam family "Eukaryotic large subunit ribosomal RNA", at positions 1379 to 2182 of the family's 3401-position model. Lineage: Eukaryota; Fungi; Microsporidia; Nosematidae. The record is from Rfam by way of RNAcentral.
AGGUAGCUGUGCAAUUUGUUUUGUAUUGAAGUAUAUAUGUGAAUAUAUAUAGAAGAAACAAAUGAGCCGAUCUUGGAGGCAGUAACAAUAUAUUUGUAUAGAUAUUAGACUAGGGUUUUCAAUUAUUAUUGAAGUGAAUCGGUGUUAUUUUAUAAAAACAAAAAAGAUUAAUAAUUCUUUAUUAAACUAUUUUAAGGCGACUUGAUGAUGACAGUAUAUUUAUUAAUCUAAGAUAAAUGAAUUAGAUUAUUUAUUUUAGCUAUGGAUUGUCAUGAUAAGAAGUAGUUAUUUAUAUAUACUUGAUAAAAAUAUUAUAGUUUUAACCGUACCUAUACCGCAUCAGGAGUCUUUGUAUCAUAACAAAUAUUUUAAAUUAAAGUAAGUAAGGGAAUUCGGCAAAUUAGAUCUGUAACUUUGGGAUAAAGAUUGGCUCUAGCAUGCUAGAACUUUUACUAUGUAAGGAAUCUGACUGUUUAUUAAAAACAUAGCUUUUUGUAAUUACAAGAAGUGAAUU